Molecule: non-coding RNA, 791 nt
Organism: Myodes glareolus (Bank vole)
Lineage: Eukaryota; Metazoa; Chordata; Mammalia; Rodentia; Cricetidae
Source: RefSeq, a predicted model, not a curated record
CCGACCUAUGAUGCCAGGUCUUUGGCUGGGCUGCUCCCUCCAGCGGAGUCUUCCUGUCACCACUGUCUGAGACCCAGCUGACCUUGCAGCCACACUAGAAACUGAAGACUCUCCGAGAAUCCUUCAGGCCUUCAGUGACAAACUGGGACAACUGAGGCACCCAACCUCUAGGACUGAGCAACUACUGAGUUGUCACCCACUCCGGUGUGCAGAUUGCUGGGGAAACUGAGGCACAGGAUCACUCAAGAUCAUAAAGGAGGAAAUAGAAAGCUGAGACCCAGAAGGUGAGCUUAUCUGUCUUAUAAACCUCUACUCAAACUGAGCCUCAUGUCAACAUUCAGCCUGAUCUCUACUUAGGCUGUAUCCACAAGUACCUGGAUGCCUGUCAUCUUUUUUUUUUUCUUUUUUUUUUUUUUUGGUACCUGCCAUGCUCGAGAUACUGAUCUACACGUGGGAAUCUCCACAGGGAACUGAGUAUAGCUAACUCAGGAGUUCAUGUGUUUAAAAGCAUGGGGGAGAGAUACAUACUAAUUUUUUGUUAAUCAGUUUGUUUCAUUGUAUCAGUCAGCAGCUAGUCCUGAGGACAGAAUAAGGCCUGGAGGAGAAAGUGAAGAGGGAUCCAAAGGAGCCCAGAGGCUGCAUUUGAAAGACCUAGGUCAGAGGAAAUGGCUUCUCAAUAAAGUGUAAGCCACAAACAGGAUGGCCUGAGUUUUAUCUCCAGAAAGCACUUUUUAAAAAGAAAGCCAGGCCAAGGGGUGUGCACUUGUGAUCCCAGAACUUGCGAAGCAAAA